RNAcentral lists this ribosomal RNA (559 nucleotides) under Variovorax sp. 30-I7. Its description in RNAcentral is "bacterial SSU rRNA". It matches the Rfam family "Bacterial small subunit ribosomal RNA", at positions 935 to 1494 of the family's 1533-position model. Lineage: Bacteria; Pseudomonadati; Pseudomonadota; Betaproteobacteria; Burkholderiales; Comamonadaceae. The record is from RNAcentral.
GAUGAUGUGGUUUAAUUCGAUGCAACGCGAAAAACCUUACCCACCUUUGACAUGUACGGAAUUCGCCAGAGAUGGCUUAGUGCUCGAAAGAGAACCGUAACACAGGUGCUGCAUGGCUGUCGUCAGCUCGUGUCGUGAGAUGUUGGGUUAAGUCCCGCAACGAGCGCAACCCUUGUCAUUAGUUGCUACAUUUAGUUGGGCACUCUAAUGAGACUGCCGGUGACAAACCGGAGGAAGGUGGGGAUGACGUCAAGUCCUCAUGGCCCUUAUAGGUGGGGCUACACACGUCAUACAAUGGCUGGUACAAAGGGUUGCCAACCCGCGAGGGGGAGCUAAUCCCAUAAAACCAGUCGUAGUCCGGAUCGCAGUCUGCAACUCGACUGCGUGAAGUCGGAAUCGCUAGUAAUCGUGGAUCAGAAUGUCACGGUGAAUACGUUCCCGGGUCUUGUACACACCGCCCGUCACACCAUGGGAGCGGGUUCUGCCAGAAGUAGUUAGCUUAACCGCAAGGAGGGCGAUUACCACGGCAGGGUUCGUGACUGGGGUGAAGUCGUAACAA